GUGCCAGCCGCCGCGGUAAUACAGAGGGUGCGAGCGUUAAUCGGAAUUACUGGGCGUAAAGGGCGCGUAGGCGGUCGUAUAAGAUUGUUGUGAAAUCCCUGGGCUUAACCUAGGAACUGCAACGAUGACUGUAUGGCUUGAGUAUUGUAGAGGGCAGUGGAAUUUCCGGUGUAGCGGUGAAAUGCGUAGAGAUCGGAAGGAACACCGGUGGCGAAGGCGGCUGCCUGGACAAAUACUGACGCUGAGGCGCGAGAGCGUGGGGAGCAAACAGGAUUAGAUACCCUGGUAGUCC
RNAcentral lists this ribosomal RNA (292 nucleotides) under uncultured bacterium. Its description in RNAcentral is "partial 16S ribosomal RNA". It matches the Rfam family "Bacterial small subunit ribosomal RNA", at positions 505 to 796 of the family's 1533-position model. The record is from RNAcentral.